This is a long non-coding RNA of Suricata suricatta (meerkat), 528 nucleotides long. RefSeq lists it as uncharacterized. The transcript is spliced from 3 exons. The record is from RefSeq and is a predicted model, not a curated record. NCBI's taxonomy places the organism in Eukaryota, Metazoa, Chordata, Mammalia, Carnivora, Herpestidae.
ACCCGUCGUCGGUCAGCGGCCAUCAACAUCCGGGCGCGACGGUCCACCAGCAGAAAGAUGAUGGCUCUCUGAAACCUCCAGUGACGAACUCAACCCAGGAAUGCUCAGAGCCCGUCAGGACCCAGGAUGACCUGAACACCAAGGGGCCUUCCUUUUCCCCUGGGGAAGACCCCAGCAGACAAUUUGGGGGAGAGCCAGUUUCUUUGGCAACUGGAAGUGAUGAAGAACCCCAGAGCCCUCCCAAUCUGACAUGGUGGCACGUUCCGCAUCACCCCAAGGACUCCGGAGCAGCAGUGAAAAGGAUGUGCUACGGAAACCUAAUGUUGCGUUGACAUAAUGAAGCGUUUGGAGGAAUCUCACGUUUCUCAAUCAGAGAACCAGCCAGUCUCAUCCGGAAUGUUCUAAGCUGCCUGCCACUUCCCACCCCCGCCCCCAUCCACUGCUUCCCCCUCCCUCAGUAUAGCUCUUCCUCAAACAUUUCAGAGACUGGCUGUUACGUGCUCAUACGCGUUCACAUAAAACAAGACU